CUUUGGCUUUAGGGGUAUUCUGAAAAGAAUUGAGAGAGUCCCUUUGAACCUGACGCGGUUAGUACCGUCGUAGGGAAAAGCGCAGGAACACCG
RNAcentral lists this non-coding RNA (93 nucleotides) under Flavobacterium rivuli. Its description in RNAcentral is "TPP sequence". It matches the Rfam family "TPP riboswitch aptamer (THI element)". From Rfam's summary of the family: Vitamin B(1) in its active form thiamin pyrophosphate (TPP) is an essential coenzyme that is synthesised by coupling of pyrimidine and thiazole moieties in bacteria. The previously detected thiamin-regulatory element, thi box was extended, resulting in a new, highly conserved RNA secondary structure, the THI element, which is widely distributed in eubacteria and also occurs in some archaea. Analysis of operon structures identified a large number of new candidate thiamin-regulated genes, mostly transporters, in various prokaryotic organisms. Lineage: Bacteria; Pseudomonadati; Bacteroidota; Flavobacteriia; Flavobacteriales; Flavobacteriaceae. RNAcentral also lists the same sequence under 1 other name. The record is from RNAcentral.